RNAcentral lists this long non-coding RNA (270 nucleotides) under Mytilus galloprovincialis (Mediterranean mussel). The record is from RNAcentral. Lineage: Eukaryota; Metazoa; Mollusca; Bivalvia; Mytilida; Mytilidae.
CACUAGUCGCGUCGUAUCAUGUGUGUUGGUAAAGUUUUGUUAUCUUAAUAAGGCUGUUUGGUGGUUUUUGUUUGUUUGUUUGUGAGAUUAACAUUCACCAUUUGCUUUACCCAAGUCUGAACGUGUUUUUAACAAUCUGUCCGGGGUUGUCGUCAGUAGUGAACAAAACGCAAAAUUUGCAAUAAAUUCCGUCCUGUGAAGUUGAAUAGACAAUGCAUGGGAAAUAGUGCAGCCACGCAUAUUAGAAGCAUUUUUAAACCCGUACAUUUC